This 478-nucleotide ribosomal RNA is filed under the name uncultured Geobacter sp. RNAcentral's name for it is "bacterial SSU rRNA". It matches the Rfam family "Bacterial small subunit ribosomal RNA", at positions 902 to 1382 of the family's 1533-position model. Lineage: Bacteria; Pseudomonadati; Thermodesulfobacteriota; Desulfuromonadia; Geobacterales; Geobacteraceae. The record is from RNAcentral.
CAAAGGAAUUGACGGGGCCGCACAAGCGGUGGAGUAUGUGGUUUAAUUCGACGCAACGCGAAGAACCUUACCAGGGCUUGACAUCCCCUGACCGCGUAUGAAAGUACGUUUUCACCCUCGGGUGACAGGGAGACAGGUGGUGCAUGGUUGUCGUCAGCUCGUGUCGUGAGAUGUUGGGUUAAGUCCCGCAACGAGCGCAACCCCUAUCCUCAGUUGCCAUCAUUAAGUUGGGCACUCUGUGGAGACUGCCGGUGUCAAACCGGAGGAAGGUGGGGAUGACGUCAAGUCCUCAUGGCCCUUAUGACCAGGGCUACACACGUGCUACAAUGGCCGGUACAAAGAGUUGCGAUACCGCGAGGUGGAGCUAAUCUCAUAAAGCCGGUCUCAGUUCGGAUUGGAGUCUGCAACUCGACUCCAUGAAGUUGGAAUCGCUAGUAAUCGCGGAUCAGCACGCCCGCGGUCGAUACGUUCCGGCCUU